UUUUUGAAACAUAUGGGUGGUCCUCCAGGAACAGGAUCUUACUACUUUCAUUGGUCUCUUGGAUUAGACCGUUCGCUGACCUUAGGCUUAUAUCUGGUUCCUUCUGAUGGAUUAAUUUAAAGCCAAUUGAUUAGUAACCAAGAAGAGAAGACUGUUUUAACAUAAAUUGAGGCAUAUUUUUAGAACAAAAAUCUAAAGUAAAAAAGUCCUGUUACAUGACCAGUUAUACCUGUAAU
Long non-coding RNA from Octopus sinensis (East Asian common octopus), 236 nucleotides. RefSeq lists it as uncharacterized. The transcript has 3 exons. The record is from RefSeq and is a predicted model, not a curated record. NCBI's taxonomy places the organism in Eukaryota, Metazoa, Mollusca, Cephalopoda, Octopoda, Octopodidae.